RNAcentral lists this ribosomal RNA (253 nucleotides) under uncultured bacterium. RNAcentral describes it as "partial 16S ribosomal RNA". It matches the Rfam family "Bacterial small subunit ribosomal RNA", at positions 524 to 776 of the family's 1533-position model. The record is from RNAcentral.
UACGGAGGGUGCGAGCGUUGUCCGGAAUCACUGGGCGUAAAGCGCGCGCAGGCGGCGAUCUACGUCUGGGGUGAAAGCCCGGAGCUCAACUCCGGGACUGCCUUGGAUAAGGGAUCGCUUGAGGAUUGGAGAGGCAAGGGGAAUUCCACGUGUAGCGGUGAAAUGCGUAGAGAUGUGGAGGAACACCUGUGGCGAAGGCGCCUUGCUGGCCAAUUACUGACGCUGAGGCGCGAAAGCGUGGGGAGCAAACAGG